GCCUUCAUAGCUCAGUUGGUAGAGCAGCUGACUCUUAAUCAGCGGGUCGUAGGUUCGAGCCCUACUGAAGGCACCA
RNAcentral lists this transfer RNA (76 nucleotides) under Planctomycetota bacterium. RNAcentral's name for it is "tRNA-Lys". It matches the Rfam family "tRNA". From Rfam's summary of the family: Transfer RNA (tRNA) molecules are approximately 80 nucleotides in length. The record is from RNAcentral. Lineage: Bacteria; Pseudomonadati; Planctomycetota.